Molecule: ribosomal RNA, 484 nt
Filed under: uncultured bacterium
Lineage: Bacteria
Description: partial 16S ribosomal RNA
Rfam family: Bacterial small subunit ribosomal RNA
Source: RNAcentral
AUUGAACGCUGGCGGAAUGCUUUACACAUGCAAGUCGAACGGCAGCACGGGGGCAACCCUGGUGGCGAGUGGCGAACGGGUGAGUAAUACAUCGGAACGUGCCCGGUCGUGGGGGAUAACGUAGCGAAGGGUACGCUAAUACCGCAUACGAUCUGAGGAUGAAAGCGGGGGACCUUCGGUCCUCGCGCGAUCGGCGCGGCCGAUGUCAGAUUAGGUAGUUGGUUGGGUAAAGGCCUACCAAGCCGACGAUCUGUAGCUGGUCUGAGAGGACGACCAGCCACACUGGGACUGAGACACGGCCCAGACUCCUACGGGAGGCAGCAGUGGGGAAUUUUGGACAAUGGGCGCAAGCCUGAUCCAGCCAUUCCGCGUGCAGGACGAAGGCCUUCGGGUUGUAAACUGCUUUUGUAUGGAACGAAAAGGCUCUGGCUAAUACCUGGGGCUCAUGACGGUACCGUAAGAAUAAGCACCGGCUAACUACGUG